Molecule: ribosomal RNA, 208 nt
Filed under: uncultured bacterium
Lineage: Bacteria
Description: partial 16S ribosomal RNA
Rfam family: Bacterial small subunit ribosomal RNA
Source: RNAcentral
AGUGUAGGUGGCUCAUUAAGUCACAUGUGAAAUCCCCGGGCUUAACCUGGGAACUGCAUGUGAUACUGGUGGUGCUAGAAUAUGUGAGAGGGAAGUAGAAUUCCAGGUGUAGCGGUGAAAUGCGUAGAGAUCUGGAGGAAUACCGGUGGCGAAGGCAGCUUCCUGGCAUAAUAUUGACACUGAGAUUCGAAAGCGUGGGUAGCAAACA